This is a long non-coding RNA of Haliotis rubra (blacklip abalone), 147 nucleotides long. RefSeq lists it as uncharacterized. Lineage: Eukaryota; Metazoa; Mollusca; Gastropoda; Lepetellida; Haliotidae. The record is from RefSeq and is a predicted model, not a curated record. The transcript has 3 exons.
AUACAGAAUUGUCAGGCUCGGUGACUUGGGGCUCUUUUCACGAAGCAACCUUUGCUAAUGUUAACCUUAACUCCCAUUCUCUAACACUGCGCUAAGGUUACCUCAGCGACUUACGCUCACCUUAGUGCUUUGUGAAAGGAGGCCCAG